UGGUGAAGGGUGCCAUGGGGUCCCCGAAAGAAAAUCUCGCAGCAAACAACCGCAGAAAAAUAUCAACACUCCGACCGACGGUAAAGAAAUCAGAAUGGCGGGGGGCCGCCAGGUGGACCGUAGGGGCCACGGGCUCCACCGAAGCAAUCUUGUAGCAACCAACAGCAGCAGAGACAGUAUAAGCUACAAUAUUAACGCAAACAAUCAGCCCGUAGAUUUUACCAUCCACAGUGACAACGGAAACACAGAAAACGUAGAUCAAAUUUAACUUACCAAGAGGAGAUCAUGCUGCACAUACCGUCUGCACACCCACCAAGUCCAGGAAAGAAACCAGGACCUCCAGGGCGAGGACCCCACGGUCCGCCAGGGCCUCCUGGUCCUCCUGGUCCACCAGGUCCCAUUGUCAACUCUCUAUUCUUCCGGACACCGCCCGAGACAAAAGCCAACCUCAGAGAUUCUUCCGAGUCUCAAAAGUGCACACGCUUGUUUGAGAAUUGAGAUCUUGUAAACAAUCUAUAAAUAUUACAUGGUGUAAGGGGUUAGUUAGAAUACUUAGGCAGGAAGUUUGUGAUGAACUACUAUUCAUUUUUCAAAUGGAAACCUACCAUUCUAACCUAGUGUGGAAAUUGAACUACCCUCCCAUGGAACAACCAUUCAAAGCAGCAUCACCCAGCACGGACGCAUAAACAUGAACACAGUUUAAUUUUAGCAGUCACUUCAUUUCUUAUUAGACCUUGGGCCGAGCCCAGUCCCCAACUCACCAGUCACCAAUUUCAUCAUGCCUCUGAACCCCGGGUUAUGUGCUGCGUGUCUUUCUUUCCAAUCACCUUAUUAACUCACUUAACACUUGACCCUGAAUGGAAUGUCACCGAAGAUUGAAGAGAGAUUCUGACUCUUUGAGUAGCAAUACAGUUUUAAUACAUAUAGCUGUUUAAAAGCUGAAUUUGUCAAUCUAAACAAUUUACAAGAAUUCAAACUAGAUGACAUUUUCAUAAGCACAAAAGCUGGCUUAUAUAAACCCUCAUUUUCACCAUCAAAGUUCAAAACAUGGGGGAGACAUUUGGCAUCAAAAUUACAAGAAAAUAUUUUACAAUAAGAUUUCCAAACCAGACAUUAGAAAAUCUUAGUUCAACUGGAAAUCACAUAGCUGCUAAAAUUAGUCAAAUUUCAUUUCUCAUUUACGAUUUACAGUCAAAAUAUACCACUGCUGAUCCUGAAGUACAAUUAUCUCCAUAACCUCAGCAGUCUCAUAUAACAUGUAACCUUCACUCUCUAAGAUCAACAGCAGAAUAACAAUGAAGAAUAAAAGACUGAAGUUGUGAAGGGUUAAAAAGGACAAACAUAUGAAAGAGGUAGGAAUAGAUGUCUCAUAACAUAGAUUUUAAUAAAUACAAUCAAGAAAUAACUGUAGCAACACUCAAUAUGUUUGCAAUUAGUUCUCUGCCAAAUUGAAUAUAUAAUGUGAUACACAUUUUUCCAUUUUCUAAGUAAAAUAACUUUUUAUGUCUAAAGCCUCCUUCAAAUUGCCAAAUAAGGCAUUCUUAGUGCAUGAAAACUUAAGGUGCAGCAAACCACAAUACUUGAAUGUGUCCAUGCCUGCACUGAGACUGCAACCUUGGUGAACAAUAAUGACUCCAAAAAGAGACAGAUACAUGCAACAGAAAAAAUAACAGUUCCAAUCAAUUAAAAAAAAAAAAAAAAGACUGAAUGAUAGCAUUGGAUUCUAGGGAGAGAUUAAAUCAUAAAGUCAAUGUAUGUAAAACAAUCUGAUUAAAUUAAGGCGUAAAAAUUAAAGACAUUAAACAAUUCAGUUCAUCAAUAAAAUAACAGAUAAAGCCUCAGAUUAGCAUUUUGGCACAUUCUUCUUUGCGACGACAACCCAUGCAUAGAAAUUCUACCAUGGAGCACAAAAUGUUGUUGCAGCUCAAGUGCAAAAGUUGUCAUCAUAGGCAACAAAUGUUUCCAAUUCUGCGGUUCAAUACCACAUGCAUAUAUGUCAAACAAUUAAAAAAAAAAAUUAACAAAACAUGGAAUGUCAUAAUAUAUAUCCUUACUUUAGAAGCUCACAAUUUCAAAACAAAUUUUAGUUACAAAAUAAUUUUAAGCAUUCAAUUUAGGUUCAUAGGGUUUCCAAAAUUUACAAGCCAACUAAAGAUUCUAACAUAAUCAACUUAAUUAAAUACAAUAAGAGCAAUUUUUUUUUUAAUCAAUGAAAUUUAACAUGAAAAUAAAGCCUCAGAUUAGCAUAUUGGCACAUUCUUCAUGGCAACAACAACCCGUAUAGAAUUUACUCAACACGGAGCGCAAAAUAUAUAUUGUUGCAGCUCAUGCCUAAAUGUUUCUCAUCAUCAGCUCAGCUCAGCUCAGACAAAUUAAUUCUCGUCAUAAAUAAAUAAAAGAAAAAGCAAUAAUAAAUUUUCAAUCAACGAUACGGCUGGGCAGCAAUUAAACAAAGAAUUAAUGCACUCAGAGCUAACAAAUUAAAUAGAAAAUUAUAAUAAAAAAAAUUAUAUAUAGCAUCGUUGAACUUAGCUCAUCAGUAAAAAAUUUUGCUGGCGAAAGACUAGGAAGAUACCAAGCCAACAAGGACUUUUUGCUAAAAUAGGGUUUUGUUCUGCG
Molecule: long non-coding RNA, 2619 nt
Filed under: Citrus x clementina
Lineage: Eukaryota; Viridiplantae; Streptophyta; Magnoliopsida; Sapindales; Rutaceae
Description: Citrus clementina (C. clementina) long non-coding RNA (CCLE_LNC004651)
Source: RNAcentral